RNAcentral lists this ribosomal RNA (205 nucleotides) under uncultured Aspergillus. Its description in RNAcentral is "partial 28S ribosomal RNA". The record is from RNAcentral. Lineage: Eukaryota; Fungi; Ascomycota; Eurotiomycetes; Eurotiales; Aspergillaceae.
UUCAGCCGGCAUUCGUGCCGGUGUACUUCCCUGGGGGCGGGCCAGCGUCGGUUUGGGCGGCCGGUCAAAGGCUCCCGGAAUGUAGUGCCCUCCGGGGCACCUUAUAGCCGGGAGUGCAAUGCGGCCAGCCUGGACCGAGGAACGCGCUUCGGCACGGACGCUGGCAUAAUGGUCGUAAACGACCCGUCUUGAAACACGGACCAAG